Molecule: ribosomal RNA, 467 nt
Filed under: uncultured bacterium
Lineage: Bacteria
Description: partial 16S ribosomal RNA
Rfam family: Bacterial small subunit ribosomal RNA
Source: RNAcentral
GAUGAACGCUGGCGGCGUGCUUAACACAUGCAAGUCGAACGGUGAAGGCGGAGCUUGCUCUGCUGGAUCAGUGGCGAACGGGUGAGUAACACGUGAGCAAUCUGCCCCUGACUCUGGGAUAAGCGCUGGAAACGGCGUCUAAUACUGGAUACGAGCUGCGAAGGCAUCUUCAGCAGCUGGGAAGAAUUUCGGUCAGGGAUGAGCUCGCGGCCUAUCAGCUUGUUGGUGAGGUAACGGCUCACCAAGGCGUCGACGGGUAGCCGGCCUGGGAGGGUGACCGGCCACACGGGGACAGGGGAAGGGCCAGGAGUCCAUCGGGAGGCAGGAGCGGGGAAUAGUGCACAAUGGGCGAAAGCCUGAUGGAGGAACGCCGGGUGAGGGACGACGGCCUUCGGGUAGUAAACCUCUUUUAGCAGGGAAGAAGCGAAAGUGACGGAACCUGCAGAAAAAGCGCCGGCUAACUACGU